AUAGAAUUUACUCCCCAGGUCUUUCUUACCCAGCAUCCCAUUUGCAUGCUCACAGUGAGUAGGAAUACUUCAUGCUUAGGUACAUAUGUAGGAUAAAGUUUUCGCAUGACCCUGCCUCUCUCUAUUCCCUUGAUCUUGGCUGCUGAAGCUGGUUUUGAGCCAGGACUAAAAUGAAAGAACACUAAAAAGAUGAAUAUGCAAAUGCAUACUCUUCUGCCAACAAUUUUAAAAACCAGCCAACUAAACCAAAGUCAAAACAGAAAUGAAGAAUAAAAUGAGAUGAGAAGUCAGUACAUCUACAUUCAAAUAGAAGAUUUCUUUGACAGUCAGUGUUAAUGAACUGAGGAGGCAAAUUUGGUAUCAGCCCAUGGGACUUUUCCUUCUAAAUUCCAAUCAAAUUAUAUGGAGCUAUGUGCUAGACUGAGAGUCCUCCCACAUGAAGGCAAUUUUUCAGCAAGCACUGACAAAAACAGGAAAAGAAAAAUGAAACAAGAAGAUAAAAUGAAUUUGAAACUCAAUGGAAGAAGAGCUCACAUUCUUUUUGGAAGAAAUAUAGGACUUGGCAGAAUUGUCUUCAAUCAUGUCCAGUGA
Molecule: long non-coding RNA, 591 nt
Filed under: Monodelphis domestica (gray short-tailed opossum)
Lineage: Eukaryota; Metazoa; Chordata; Mammalia; Didelphimorphia; Didelphidae
Description: lncRNA (ENSMODG00000042635.1)
Source: RNAcentral